Molecule: ribosomal RNA, 255 nt
Filed under: uncultured bacterium
Lineage: Bacteria
Description: partial 16S ribosomal RNA
Rfam family: Bacterial small subunit ribosomal RNA
Source: RNAcentral
UACGUAGGGUGCAAGCGUUAAUCGGAAUUACUGGGCGUAAAGCGUGCGCAGGCGGCUAUGCAAGACAGAUGUGAAAUCCCCGGGCUCAACCUGGGAACUGCAUUUGUGACUGCAUAGCUAGAGUACGGUAGAGGGGGAUGGAAUUCCGCGUGUAGCAGUGAAAUGCGUAGAUAUGCGGAGGAACACCGAUGGCGAAGGCAAUCCCCGUGGACCUGUACUGACGCUCAUGCACGAAAGCGUGGGGAGCAAACGAGG